GAUGAACGCUGGCGGCGUGCCUAAUACAUGCAAGUCGAGCGAACAGAUAAGGAGCUUGCUCCUUUGACGUUAGCGGCGGACGGGUGAGUAACACGUGGGUAACCUACCUAUAAGACUGGGAUAACUUCGGGAAACCGGAGCUAAUACCGGAUAACAUUUUGAACCGCAUGGUUCUAUAGUGAAAGAUGGUUUUGCUAUCACUUAUAGAUGGACCCGCGCCGUAUUAGCUAGUUGGUAAGGUAACGGCUUACCAAGGCGACGAUACGUAGCCGACCUGAGAGGGUGAUCGGCCACACUGGAACGGAGACACGGUCCAGACUCCUACGGGAGGCAGCAGUAGGGAAUCUUCCGCAAUGGGCGAAAGCCUGACGGAGCAACGCCGCGUGAGUGAUGAAGGGUUUCGGAUCGUAAAACUCUGUUAUUAGGGAAGAACAAAUGUGUAAGUAACUGUGCACGUCUUGACGGUACCUAAUCAGAAAGCAACGGCUAACUACGUG
This 497-nucleotide ribosomal RNA is filed under the name uncultured bacterium. Its description in RNAcentral is "partial 16S ribosomal RNA". It matches the Rfam family "Bacterial small subunit ribosomal RNA", at positions 28 to 507 of the family's 1533-position model. The record is from RNAcentral.